GCCGAGCUAGCCAAGGUGGUCAAGGCACGUGUCUGAAGAACACGGAAUUUCAGUUCGAUUCUGAAGCUCGGCA
Molecule: transfer RNA, 73 nt
Filed under: Candidatus Woesebacteria bacterium
Lineage: Bacteria; Candidatus Woeseibacteriota
Description: tRNA-Phe
Rfam family: tRNA
About the family: Transfer RNA (tRNA) molecules are approximately 80 nucleotides in length.
Source: RNAcentral